This 8970-nucleotide long non-coding RNA is filed under the name Cucumis sativus (cucumber). RNAcentral describes it as "long non-coding RNA (CSAT_LNC000966)". Lineage: Eukaryota; Viridiplantae; Streptophyta; Magnoliopsida; Cucurbitales; Cucurbitaceae. The record is from RNAcentral.
AGGCCAUGGGAGUGAGAAAGCUUGAGGAUUUGAGUGGCGGUGGACUUGACGGAGGAGAGGGAAACGGAGAGGGCGGCGGUGGCCAAAAGGCGGGGACUUGUUUGGAUGGCAUUGGCAUGGACUGAAAGAGAUGAAAAACAGAGACGAGGGUAAGUGGUGGAACUGCAAGAGCUUUUUAUGAACUCUGUGCUGCUUUGUGGAGUUAUGGCUGAAUGAAUCAGUGUUAAUUGGAGAAUUAAUUGGAAAAGAAUCAAACUUUUCUUGGAGUUUGAGAUACCCAUCUCUGUUUUUUUUUUUUUUUUUUUUUUUUAUGCAAAUGGAAGGAAUUUAGGAGGAAGGGGAAGUGAUGAAGAGAAAGGGGUGAAAUGGGUUUUGUAUUUAUAAGCAAAUGACCAUUGCAUUUACACAUAAAAGCUAAGUCUCAGAGACAAACUAGAGGUUUAGAGGACUUUGAGGCAAACAGAAAAAUAAGUUAUUAAAUUUGUAUAUUCUUAAAUCACCCAUUGACGUAAAAGUUUAAGAUGACUAGUAAAAAUACAUUUAAUAUUAUAUCUUACUUGUACGUUUGAAAUUUAAUAUUAUAUCUUACUUGUACGCUUGAAACAUGAAGAAACAUCAAACAAGUAGAAAUUAAUUUUAUUUGAGAAGAAAAUAUCAUUCAAACAGUUUGACAUAAGAUCUUUAUGCACCAUUCACUCUAGUAUUAUCUUAAAACACUAAUUGAUCAAAAGGCUUAAGGGUUUUUAUAUCGAUGACCCAUUGUUAAAUAUGUUUUAGUUUCGUAACCUUCCUCGAGUAAAUAAGAAUUAUAACCUUUCACUUACAUCACAUUUACUUUUUAAGAAGCACACAGUCGUACUUGUGAGCAUCAAUCCAAGCUGAUUAAAGAGGCACCUUGUGCCUGAGUUAACAUACCCUGAUGAAAAUUUUAAGUGCGCUGAACUUUCUCCCUCACACUCGUGAGUACCCAAUUAGGUUGAUUAAGACGCCCUAGUUUGAGUCUGAUUCAAUCAUAAAACUGCAAGGGGCAAGCAAGACUAAGUUUCUUUCCGUACAAAAAUCUAUAUGUUGUUAGGCUUGUUUAGAAAUUAUUUGUUUUUUUUUUCCAAUGAUUUUCAUCUAUCUCAGGUAAAAAAUAGUUGAAUUAUUAACCAAAUUUUAAUUUUUAAAAAUUCUUAAAAACUAAAAAUAUUUUGUUAGAUGAAAAUAAAUAUUAUAUUAUUAAUUUUAUCUUUAAGCUGAGAUUUUUGAGAAAAUUGUUUAAUUUAACAUAUUAUCAAAGCAAGUGAUGGUUGAGGUCCUAUGUUCGGUAGAAGAUGUGUUUAUAGGUUUAAUUUUGAAAAACAAAAAAUUAAGAUCCCAAUUGGUAAUUAUUUUGCUUUUGAAAAUUAAGCCUACAUAUCCUACUUACAUUUUCAAAUUUCUUGCUUUAUUUUCUACCUUUUACCAAUAGUUUAAAAACCAAGAAUAAAUUAUAAAAACUAAAAAUAUAUUCUAAAGAGGGAUGAAUCAUAAAAAAUAGAAAGGAAAAAACGCUUAAUUUUGAAAAACUAAAACAAAAAAUAAGAUGAUUAUGAAAAGAAGCCUCAUAAUUUGUAACUUUCUUCCCUAUAUACUUUAGUUGGAAUAACAGGAACCAAAUUUUUAUUUUUUUGUGAAUAACUUUCUUUUUGUUCUGUUCAUAACAAUUGUCCAAAUAUGUUAGUCAGGAGAGAUGGGAAGGUUGAGAAAGCGAGAGAAUAAUAAUAAUUUGGAUGACCGACAAAAAUAAAACCCAACAAUUAUAUAAUAAUAAUAAUUUUUUUAAAAAAAAAUUAACAUUUAAAAGACGUACUAUUGUUUUUAAAAUUUCACUUUGAAUAAAACUCUUAUAUUAAAAAAAAUAAAAUAAAAUAAAAAGUACAAGCCAUCCUGAGAAAUGAAAAGAAAAUAAGUAAAACUUUUCAAAAACUAAAUAACUACCCAAAGCCCAACGGAAGUUUAAAUAUAAUUCUAACUUAUAUAUUGCUUUCUCCUCAUUAUAUUUAUUGUUCAAUUACUGGUCUUUUUCAAAUUGUGUUGUCCAAGUCGACUUGCAAGUCCAUUUUGUACGGAAAUACUACAUUCAAUAUAUAAUAAGAAAAAAAUAAACUAUUUAUGAAUAUAAUUAAUUAUAGUUUUUUAUUAUUAAUGGUGAGAAAAAUAAAGAGGGAAUCGUAUGGGAGGAAGGAAAUGGGUGUUUUUGGUGAACCUCCUCAAACUUCUACUUGCAUGCAUUUCUCACUCUCUCUUACGCCUCACUAAUGCUCAAGUUUUCUUUUCUUUUACAAAAACAAACACUUCUCAGUCGUCAUUGUCAAUAACCAAACUGAUGUCUCACCGCUCAUAUCAAAUUUCAUUCAAUAAUAACUAAAUAAACCUUUACGUCCCACCACAUGUUUAAAUGCAAUUAAAUCCCCUUUAAUCAUUUUAAAUUAAAUAAACUUUCCCAAAAUUAACUUAUCUUCCUCUAUAUGCUAAUUGACACGACAAAAAAAAAUAUAAAUAUUUGAUCUAUCAUCCAUACACUUGAUUUAGUCAUCAAAUAAAAAUAAAAAUAUAUAGAUUGUUUUUUUUUUUGUCUCUUUAAUUUUUCUUGUUAGUAUACAUUAGAACUAUAAGCUAUAUUUAUUUUGACAAAAAAAAUUAAUUUAGUUCGAUAAAUAAUAACAAAAUCUCAUGGAUAUUAUUAAAAGAGAAUAUUUGAGAAUCCAAACUUUUUAAUAGUCAAUUUUGGGUUUAAAUGAAAGAACAAUGACAAUUCUUUUUGUUAAUUUUGGUGAGCCCCAAAUGAUUCGGAACCAAUCAACUUCUGAAGUUAAGGUUAACCAUUUCCAACAACGUUGUUUCUACUUUAUUUAAAAUAUCUCAAGUCUUCUUCGACAAGAGAUGCGAGCAUCAUUGUUUUGUUUCAAAUUUUUUUUUUUAGAUUUGAAAUUUAAGUCUAUUUACUCUUUAUUUUAUACAAUGAUUUGUAUCCUUUUUAAGUGUAAUGAUCGAAUUAUUCAUCAAAUUUCAACAAUAAAAGUAAAAAAUAAAAAAUAGUUAUUUUAUAUAUGCAAAUGUUGAAAUAAUUUGAAUUGAGCAUUUAGCAACAAAAUGAGGGGAAUGAAUGUGGGGGUGGUAAAAUGAUUUGGACAUUCUCUAAUCUCUACCAUAAUUUUCAAAUGUCAAUAUCUUAGUUAUUGCAAUCAAAAACAACAAUAUAUAUCACCUCUUUUCCAUACAUACUUUAGAUGUGAUCUUUUAUUUUCCUCUUUUCUUUUUUUCAAACUAGUCAGGGCCACCAACUUUUUAUUUCAAAUAAUUAUAUCACAUUUUUUAUUUAAAACAAUAACUUUUAAAAACCACAUCUUUUUUUAGAUAUUAUAUACUUAUUUUUUAAAAAAAAGCAAACAAAAGAUGCUUCAAGAACUUAAUUUCAAAGCUAAUUUUCUUUAAAGAAAAUAGAUUUAUUUUCAAAAACUUAAAGACUAAAUACUGAUAAAGUUGAAGAUCAAAAACAUUAAACUUUUCAAACUUAAGAACGAAACGCACGAAUUCAUCUUCAAAACUUGAAAACUAAGAAAGUUAUUGUAUUUCGAAACAUAAUUUUUUAAAAAGAUUUCAAUGCAUAUCCAUAAUCUUUAAGAGUUGUAUCCGUAUGAACUUCAAAUAUAAAUUAACCAUUAAACGAUUGUCAACCGUAGUUCACAUUGCAUUGUGUUUAACAAUGUUGAGAGUGAAAAUGCAAAAUUUAUAUGAUUUUUUCAAACAUCAUUUAAUUUAUAUGUUUUCAAAUCUAUUGGGGAGCUUCUGAUUUAGAUUAUUGGUACUUAAAAAUUUCUGUACGUAAUUAACCAAAUAUUUUGUGAAUUAAUUUCAAUCUUAAAAUCUUUUCUAUUCACGUCAAAGUACAAAAUCUGACAAUAAGAAAUUAGUAACAUAUUUUCUUCUUAAACAUUUAUCUAUAGUAUCUUUUGAUUAAGAAACAUAAUCAAUUGUGUAAGGAAGGAAAAAAGAAGUGAAUAAGGAAACAAUCUCCAUGAUUGUAUUCAAUGAUAUUUUAAUAAAACCCAAAGAACUACAGGAAAUUUUAUAUAUAAUUGAGAAAUAUAGAGCUAUUAUAUAUACAUGGACCGCAUCAGGUAGACCAAAAAAAAAAAAAUGCAACAAUAGACUAGAGAGUCUUUUAAAGAGAUGUGAAUGAUAGAAGAAAUUUCUUGUAGCGGUUGAAUUGGAAAAAUUAAAUGAGUUUUUGGAGGUGAUAUUUUGAUAUAUAUCAUGUUGAAUGGAAGUAUAAAAUUACUCGUAAAAGUCAAUACUAGUUGCUUCAAAAGUUUCUUCAUUCCAACAUCAUAAACCUCUUAAAAUCGAAAUUUAAAAUACGUCAAAUUAACAACAAUAAAGGUAAGUAGGAGACGAACAAUUUGGAUCGACUAUUAAAUGUAAGUAGGUGAGAGACUGAAAAUUGAAGGUAUUUUAGUAGACAACUCAAACUCGUAUCAACUUUUCAAUACCAAAUAUUACUUUUUGUAUUUUGUUUGAACAUUGAAAGUUGUGUGGAGUUAUAAUGAUAUUUUAGAGGGUGAGGAUGGAGGAAAAGAGUUACCAAAAUAUAACUAGAUUGCAUUUUUAUUUCUUAUGGGAUAGUUAAGAAUAGUUAUUCUACUUCCUAUAUAUAAAUUUUCCUUAUUGCUAUACUAGUUUUUUUUUUUUUUUUAAUAGUUGAAUUCUUUCACCCAAAUACAAGGUAUUUAUGGUCAUUUAAAAGUUGUUUGACUCACUUUAUUGAAUAUACAAUUUGUUGUUGUAUUUUUUUAGUAGAGUGUAUUUGUGAGAACCAAAAAGUUAUUUUAAGCACAAAAUAUUUGUGUUUUUUUUAGUUUUAAUACAUAUUUUUAUCGUUGUUAAUAUAGAAUCUCAUGGGUAGGAAUUUGAUUUUUCAUUUUUUCUUAAUAAAUAGUUAAAUUUAAAAAUAUUUUUUAAUAAUAGUGAAAUCCUACGAAAGGUUGGUUAUCUUUGUUCUUUUCUACUAUAAUAUAACCUCUUUUGUAAAAAUUGAUAUGUGAUUCUUGCUGAUUAUGUUAUUCAUUUAAUGAAGGAGAUUUUAAAAAAUACAACAAACCUACCGGAACAAUUUUAAAAACGAAAAAGCUCUAAAUAUAUUAAAGUAUGUACCAACAUAAUUGUACAUACUUUAAAUAGAUUUGGCUACCCAAAUCUAAACUGUAUCAAUACAUCUUGUUGGAAGGGGCUGACAAGUAUAGUUACCACUAAACUGUUUAUAAAUAUUAAGUAUAAAUUUGUUUUGUUUAUACAUAUUAUAUAAAGACAAUAAAAUUGAGGGGGUUCGAGCCCCUGAGCCUAUACUAAAUUCGCCGGUGAAUACAAAACUAAGUAUGUAUGUGAAGUUUAUUUGAUAUAUACACACAACACUGUAUAUAUAGACUAGCACGGAGGAAAUAUUAAUUUUUUAAAAAAAUAAGAAAAAGGAGAUAAUUUUAAAAAGAUUUUAAAAAGAUAACCUAAUAAUUAAUAAUAAUUUAGAAAAAACCUGAAAAAGGAAAAGAAAAAGUAGAGAAAGUGUAUUUUAAAAAUAUUAUUAUAAUUAAACUAAAGAUUAUUUGGAAUGACUCAAAUAAAUAUUUUUAAAAAAAUCAUUUUUAUUUAAACGCUUUUGAUAAAAACUUAUAAAUUAUUUUUAUAUAUAAGUUUCUUUUAUUUGUUAUAUGUACUAAAAAUAUUUUUAUUAAAAAAUUUUAAAGUUGAGCAGUGGCGACAGUCGCUAGAGUUGGUUGUUGGAAGUUUGUCAGUAGAGUCACCAAAGGUGAUAGUCGGAGUAUGACCAAGACGACUAUUAUCGAAGAUUGACCUAAUUAAACCGUAAAAAUGUUAUUAUUAAAAGUUUGCAAGGUUGAUCGAUAGCGACCAAAGAUGUUUAGUUGGUUGAUGAACUUUCCAACCCUUGGAACAAAUAUCUCUAGGGUUGAAGAAUAGCAAGACAUAUAAGUAAUUUUAAAUUCUAAUUCUAAUAUUCAACUAAAACUAAACAUUGUCCCAAAUAUUGAGCAAACUAUUAUAGCAUAUGCUCCACUUCUAGCCCCAAACAUGUCUUUGAUGGUUAGGAUUUCAAUCUUAUAUUAUUUGAAUUAGUUAGGGGUAUUUUGGUCCAUUGUUAAUUCACAAUUAAUAAUUUUAGAAUUCAUUUUGUUGUUUUUAUAAUUUUUUUUUGUUUUUUCUAAGUGAAAUAUUUUGUUUUGUAAUUUCUCUUCUUAGUUGGCCAAAUAAUAUAUUCAUUAACUCUAAUUUUGGGAUAGUUGCAAAUAUAUAACAAAAUAUUUAAAUAAAUUGUAAAUAUAACAAAAUAUGUCAAAAACUAUCAAUGACAGAAGUGUAUCGCCGAUAGAUCAUGCUGAAAAUAUUAGUCUAUCGACAAUAGACCAUAAAAAUAUAUCAAUAAUAAAAACUUUUAUCGCUUCUAUCGUUGAUAGACCAUAAGAAUCUAUCAACGACAGAAAUGUAUCACGGAUAGAAUUUGCUAUAAUAUUUUUAGUUCUUUUUUUAAUAUUGUUAUAUAUUGAAUUAUUAUUAUAAACAUGGUUACAUGGAUAAUUAUAAUAUAUGAUAAUUUUAUGAAUAAUAAUUAAGCAUAUGUAAUAACAUUUUGACUCUUAUGGCCUAUUAGUGAUACACUUUGUUCUAUUUGUAAUUUUUAAAAUAUUACUAUAUAUAUAUAUAUAUAUAUAUACUUAAUUAUUGUAUGCAACAAUCGAGAGCCCAACCCUGUGUUAUCUAAUUAGGUUGAUAAGCUAAGCCCAAUCCGUAGCACAACCGUCAGCCCAAUUUAAAAAUAGAAAACUAAAACCUCACGCUCACGCCUCCCACUCCUCUCCAGUUUUAAACUUGGGUGAACUUUUAUGUUCUCUUUUCCUUCUCACCCUCAUUCUUUUUCCUUUUCUACAGUUCUUUAACUUUACCAUCCCCUUCCCACUCUGCUCAUCAUAAUUUAUUCAAACAACUAUCUUUGAUAUAUCAGUUAAAACUUUAAAACGGUGAUUGUUGUGGCAUAACGCCAAAGCCACAACCGGUGGAGGUACUUUUUUCUUUUAUUGAGGGAUAGCAAAACUUUGACGAAAAAAUAAAACGGGUUUAAAAAGGCGCUAUACUGUGAGGACUGUCGAUUUUAGAUGAUUCAUCUUUAAAUCGAGGGUUUCUGUUGAUCUUUGGCUUGUCCACAACCUAACCCAACCCAAACGUACAAACCUUUAAAUUCCUUCUCUACUUUACCUUAAUAAUUAUAAUAACCCGUGAAAAGUAUUACAAAAAUAUUAUAUUUUAUUUGCUUUUACUCUAUUUUUCUAAAUAUAUAUUUUUGUAGGGUAAAAUGCACUUCUGAGUAGAUGCUGACAUGGAUGAGUUAGCAUUUUAUUUAUUUGAUGAUGUGGUGAAUAAACUUAAAAAAGUAAACCUUCUCAAAUUAUAGUGACAUUUCAAAACAUUUUAGAUCUCUCUAGUUAUUUGGAACCUAAUUCAUCUCUUUGGACUACUAUUGAAUCGAAAAAUAGGUUUGAUUCUCCAUCUUUUUUAUAUAAUAGUAAGGCCUCCUUCAGAUAAUUCAAAUUGAAGCAAUUAGAUGUCCAACUCAGACUUGAUAGUCAAAUAUUCACGACCCACAUCCACUUCAAGAGGUGUCGUGGUCUCUAACAGAAGGCAAGUCAACAAUGAACAAUUAUAAAAUACUAGUGUAGAGAGAGGUGUGCAGUAAGAAUGAACCAUGGGCAAAGAAGAAGAUUUUUCACUAUUUUAAGUAUAUUAUAUUUUACUUGCAGGUUUAACUUUUAAGUUAAUUUGUCCACCUAAUAAAAUAAAAUGACAUGUCAAUCUAAUCAAGUCAUGAUUUGAUAACCAUUUCGUUAGGGUAAAGUUAACUAUGUGACCAUUUAGUAUCAUUUUGAAAAUCUUAAAAAGACAAAUUUUAUUUUAAAACUUUAUAGACUAAAUAGACAUCGAAUCUAAAUUAAUUUUUGAUGGUUGUCUACGUAAAAACCAUCUCCCCACAAAUCCUAAUAACUUCAAUAAAAUUAUACAUACUCCAUGGAAUUAAUAAUGCAAAAAUAACUCCAACCUCCACACGUAAACCCUACUUAAACCUAUAUAUUACCAAGUAUAAAAUACCAUGACAAAAACUCCACCAUCUAACCUAAAUAUCAUACUUACACUUCCACCUUUCAAAUCUCACACACCAACAACGUAUAGUACACACUAAUCACCUACCAUCGUCAAAUUUGAGUCUUUUUCCUCAAUCAAAGACAGGUGGUGCACUUCAAGAUACAGCUAAUGCAAAUCAGCUAUCCGAUUAAUCAAAGACAGAGCAUUACUAGUCAACUGCGCAAUGUUGACAAUCUUAGUCCUAACCUCAGCCUUAACGCCUCCGUUCACCGUCUUCCCCUGAAACCCUUCGCUACAUGUGGUUUCAUCCGUCAGAGCGGCGCUAACCCAUGUCUGAACAUUACUCAUUGCGAGGUCGAAAUUGGUUCCACGGAGCUUCGGCAUCUCGGAAAUGGAAGCAGCGAGGGAGUCGACAGAGUCACUCAGUUCUUCCAAACAGUCGUUAAGAGCAGAAACAUCUCUGGAGGGGAGGCCAUGGGAGUGAGAAAGCUUGAGGAUUUGAGUGGCGGUGGACUUGACGGAGGAGAGGGAAACGGAGAGGGCGGCGGUGGCCAAAAGGCGGGGACUUGUUUGGAUGGCAUUGGCAUGGACUGAAAGAGAUGAAAAACAGAGACGAGGGUAAGUGGUGGAACUGCAAGAGCUUUUUAUGAACUCUGUGCUGCUUUGUGGAGUUAUGGCUGAAUGGAUUAGUGUUAAUUGGAGAAUUAGUUGGAAAAGAAUCAAAGUUUUCUUGGAGUUUGAGAUACCCAUCUCUGUUUUCUUUGUGUUCUUAAAUGUAAAUGGAAGGAAUUUAGAAAGAAG